Molecule: long non-coding RNA, 965 nt
Filed under: Salmo salar (Atlantic salmon)
Lineage: Eukaryota; Metazoa; Chordata; Actinopteri; Salmoniformes; Salmonidae
Description: lncRNA (ENSSSAG00000107644.1)
Source: RNAcentral
CUUUCAUGGUAAAGUACAUCUAGUCAUGAACACGGAAAUACGCAGCAAAACCUUGUUACUCAAAGACCCAGCUACUCUCUGACAGUCACCAUCAGACCAUCAGACCACCAGAUGGACAGGCUGUGGGUCACUCUGAUUGCAUUCUUAUGUGCUGUUUCCUCCAGUCAGUUCAUCCUAACACUGUUCCUCUGCUACCUGUUGGUGCUGUUUCCUCCAGUCAGGAUGGGAUCUCUGCAGCAGAGGUGGAGCUGAGAGUCAGACCAGGAGACAACAUCACCCUCUAUAGUGACUGUAGAACAACAAAUGCAAUGUACACAGUCUGGUUCAGGAAUUGGUCUCAUGAGCACCAGCCUCCUCUUGUUAUUACAUAUGUUAUUACAUAUUAUGAGAACAUCACUGCAUCUGACCUGGGACUCUACUACUGUGCUCCAACUGAGACUCAGGGGAGGUGACAGCAGAGAGCAGACUGCUGUCAAAUCACUCACUCACUUCAGUACCUACACAGCCAGAAGACCUAUACAAAUGUAGCUGGUAUGACGACAGUGUUGAUAUUUUUAAGUUACUUAAUUUUGAAAUAAUUUAAUACCAGUGAUAUUUUUUCCAACUUUUGUAUGUAACCUUUUAAUAAUAAUAACAAUAGUGAUUUAGAAAAUGUUUUAAAGCUCAGCGAAUAAUGGUUAAAUAUCUCUUGUUAUUGUAACGGUUGUUGCAAGGAGAGGACCAAGGUGCAGCGUGGUAGGUGUUCAUCAUGUUUAUUAGUUCUGAGCAAUGAAUCAAAAACAAAAUGGAACAAAGCGCAACAAAUCUGUCAGGUGAAAAACACAAUACAGAAAACAACUACCCACAAAAACCCUGUGGGAAAAGGCUACCUAAGUAUGGCUCCCAAUCAGAGACAACAAUAGACAGCUGUCCCUGAUUGAGAACCAUACCCAGCCAAAACAAAGAAAUACACAAAACAUAGAAAA